This 253-nucleotide ribosomal RNA is filed under the name uncultured bacterium. Its description in RNAcentral is "partial 16S ribosomal RNA". It matches the Rfam family "Bacterial small subunit ribosomal RNA", at positions 524 to 776 of the family's 1533-position model. The record is from RNAcentral.
UACGGAGGGUGCAAGCGUUAAUCGGAAUUACUGGGCGUAAAGCGUGCGCAGGCGGCGCGUUAAGACAGGUGUGAAAGCCCCGAGCUUAACUUGGGAAUUGCGCUUGUGACUGGCGUGCUGGAGUGUGGCAGAGGGAGGUGGAAUUCCACGUGUAGCAGUGAAAUGCGUAGAGAUGUGGAGGAACACCGAUGGCGAAGGCAGCCUCCUGGGCCAGCACUGACGCUCAGGCGCGAAAGCGUGGGGAGCAAACAGG